GAUGAAGAACGCAGCGAAAUGCGAUAAGUAAUGUGAAUCGCAGAAUUCAGUGAAUCAUCGAAUCUUUGAACGCACAUUGCGCCCGCCAGUAUUCUGGCGAGCAUGCCUGUUCGAGCGUCAUUUCAACCAUCAAGCCCCAGGCUUGUGUUGGAGCCCUGCGGCUGCCGCAGCCUCCCAAAACCAGUGGCGGGCUCGCUAUCACACCGAGUGCAGUAGUUUACUCUUCGCUCAGGGCGUGUGGCGGGUGCUAGCCGUGAAACCCCCAACUUCUCAAGGUUGACCUCGGAUCAGGUAGGAAUACCCGCUGAACUUAAGCAUAUCAAUAAGCGGAGGA
RNAcentral lists this unclassified non-coding RNA (334 nucleotides) under soil metagenome. RNAcentral describes it as "partial contains 5.8S ribosomal RNA, internal transcribed spacer 2, and large subunit ribosomal RNA". The stretch from base 1 to 120 matches the Rfam family "5.8S ribosomal RNA", at positions 35 to 154 of the family's 154-position model. The record is from RNAcentral.